Long non-coding RNA from Cyprinus carpio (common carp), 286 nucleotides. RefSeq lists it as uncharacterized. The record is from RefSeq and is a predicted model, not a curated record. The transcript has 3 exons. Lineage: Eukaryota; Metazoa; Chordata; Actinopteri; Cypriniformes; Cyprinidae.
AAUCGCUGCACGGGAUAUACAAAAUCCGGUUUAAACCGGUUUCUAUCUUAAAUUUCAAUAUAAAAACUUAAUAAAACAUAUACAGCCGUUAUUGUAUUUUACGCGAGACGCUGUGAGGCGUGCAGGGUGUCGUUGCUCAGGAGCACAAUAUUUACACAAACAUUCAGAUUUUUUGACAUUUUUUCGGGGUUUUUCUGCAGCCAAGAUGCCCAAAAGAAAGAUUGAUGGAGAGAAGGCCGCCAAAGGCAAGGAGGAGCCAACAAGACGCUCCGCAAGGUUGUCUGCU